RNAcentral lists this non-coding RNA (30 nucleotides) under Homo sapiens (human). Lineage: Eukaryota; Metazoa; Chordata; Mammalia; Primates; Hominidae. The record is from RNAcentral.
UGCAAAAGACAGGCUUAAUGGGACGACUCC